ACCUCAAGUGGUCUAUCCUGAGUCUGACCUGCUCAGUCGGAAGAGGUGGAGACACAGCCAGAUUCUCAGUGAUCACUUCUGGAAGCAUUUCGUGCAUGAUUUUCUGCCUACUUUACAGACACGUCAGAAAUGGAAUCAAGAGAGAGAGAACAUUACAGUUGGAACUGUAGUCCUUAUAGCUGAUGAGCAAUUACCGAGAGCGCUCUGGCGAGUGGGUACUGUUUCCUCCAUCAUUCCUAGCUCUGAUGGUAGAGUUAGAACUGCUGUUGUUAAAGUGAAAGAUCAUACUUACACCCGACCAGUUGCUCGAUUGAUUAGAUUACCCGCUUUACCGCAGGGCUCAGAUGAUAUGCAGUAGUAGAUUUUACUACAGACAAAUUUGUCUACCAAAUUUGGGGGCGGCUGUAAAAAAGCCCAUGUUCAGUUUUUGUUCACUUAUUAUAAAGGCUGUGCAGCUGUCAUGUUGGUCAUUGAUUUGAAUAUGAGGGGGUGUGGUUUAAUCUGAGUUCGCGCGAAAGCAGAUCAUAUUUCUUCGGUUCGGAUCCUGAGGGAAAGUUUAGGUCCUGCAAUCUUACCUUUAAAGCAGUGAAAUAAGAUAGAUUAACAUCACUUUCUGCAGCGCCUUCACUUUGUGAACUGCAGAAUAGGAUAUUUGUGCUCUUGAUCGGCAGUGGACGAUAUUAAACUUUGCACUGAAGUUUCCAUGGUGACGAUUCCUGAAUGUGCGUCAUUGAAGAUUAACCACGUUUGAGAGUCAUACAUCAGCGAGAUAAAUAUUCAGUAACAUCUUAGAUUAUACACUGGAAUUUAUCGUCGCUGAGGAUUUACCAUACUUCAGGGCCUGAGACUGCAUCUCAACAUCAACGUCACAAAGCCUUUUGGACACUUUAAAGAACUGUAGAGACCACACGGACUGUUCCAAUCUUUGUUUCACUGCCUAAUCACAGGACCAACUGUCAUCUGUAUCCUUGAAUCUGUUGAAACAACUCAUUGUUUAUUUCUGUUUAUUAUUUUGUGUAGGCCUACGUUUUAUUUUCAUAUGUACAUUUUCUUUACAUUUGAAUACCUUUUGAUGGUGAAUAUGUACACAGUGUAUUUUAUUGUUCAACAAUAUUCAGAGUAAAAGGUACAAUUUAGUUCAA
This is a non-coding RNA of Pimephales promelas (fathead minnow), 1142 nucleotides long. NCBI's taxonomy places the organism in Eukaryota, Metazoa, Chordata, Actinopteri, Cypriniformes, Leuciscidae. The record is from RefSeq and is a predicted model, not a curated record.